Molecule: small RNA, 22 nt
Filed under: Arabidopsis thaliana (thale cress)
Lineage: Eukaryota; Viridiplantae; Streptophyta; Magnoliopsida; Brassicales; Brassicaceae
Description: ATSL188850
Source: RNAcentral
UAAAAGAAGAAGAAAAAACAAA